Molecule: ribosomal RNA, 284 nt
Filed under: uncultured bacterium
Lineage: Bacteria
Description: partial 16S rRNA
Rfam family: Bacterial small subunit ribosomal RNA
Source: RNAcentral
ACACGUGCUACAAUGGGAAGGACAAAGAGCCGCGAAGCCGCGAGGUGUAGCUAAUCUCAGAAACCUUUUCGUAGUCCGGAUUGGAGUCUGCAACUCGACUCCAUGAAGUCGGAAUCGCUAGUAAUCGUAGAUCAGAAUGCUACGGUGAAUACGUUCCCGGGUCUUGUACACACCGCCCGUCAUACCAUGGGAGUGGGUUGCACCAGNAAGUGGCUAGUCUAACUUAGUGAGGACGGUCACCACGGUGUGAUUCAUGACUGGGGUAAAGUCGUAACAAGGUAACC